RNAcentral lists this ribosomal RNA (440 nucleotides) under uncultured bacterium. Its description in RNAcentral is "partial 16S ribosomal RNA". It matches the Rfam family "Bacterial small subunit ribosomal RNA", at positions 338 to 795 of the family's 1533-position model. The record is from RNAcentral.
CCUACGGGAGGCAGCAGUGGGGAAUAUUGCACAAUGGGGGAAACCCUGAUGCAGCGACGCAGCGUGAGUGAAGAAGUAAUUCGUUAUGUAAAGCUCCAUCAGCAGGGAAGUAAAUGACGGUACCUGUGUAAGAAGCCCCGGCUAACUACGUGCCAGCAGCCGCGGUAAGACGGAGGGGGCAAGCGUUAUCCGGAUGUACCGGGUGUAAAGGGAGCGUAGACGGCAGGGCAAGUCUGGAGUGAAAGGCGGGGGCUCAACCCCAGGACUGCUAUGGAAACUGUCAGGCUGGAGUGCAGGAGAGGUAAGUGGAAUUCCUAGUGUAGCGGUGAAAUGCGUAGAUAUUAGGAGGAACACCAGUGGCGAAGGCGGCUUACUGGACUGUAACUGACGUUGAGGCUCGAAAGCGUGGGGAGCAAACAGGAUUAGAUACCCCAGUAGUC